AAAGGGAGAAAUGCAAUGAGUCAAACCCUAGUGGAAGAGGAUCGGAUUGGCCUAACCUAUGGUGUACCGCCAGCAGCAGCAGAUCAAGAAAAGUAAAGUUUCCAGUUUUUAGGUUUUGUGGACUUGUAAGAGGGCAAGGAAG
Molecule: long non-coding RNA, 142 nt
Organism: Solanum verrucosum
Lineage: Eukaryota; Viridiplantae; Streptophyta; Magnoliopsida; Solanales; Solanaceae
Exons: 3
Source: RefSeq, a predicted model, not a curated record